Molecule: ribosomal RNA, 253 nt
Filed under: uncultured bacterium
Lineage: Bacteria
Description: partial 16S ribosomal RNA
Rfam family: Bacterial small subunit ribosomal RNA
Source: RNAcentral
UACGUAGGGGGCAAGCGUUGUCCGGAAUUAUUGGGCGUAAAGCGCGUGUAGGCGGUCAUCUAAGUCUGGUGGGAAAUCCUGGGGCUCAACCCCAGAAGUGCACUGGAUACUGGACGACUAGAGGACGAGAGAGGAAAGUGGAAUUCCUGGUGUAGGGGUGAAAUCCGUAGAUAUCAGGAGGAACAUCAGUUGCGAAGGCGGCUUUCUGGCUCGUUUCUGACGCUGAGACGCGAAAGCGUGGGGAGCAAACAGG